AGUGAACGCUGGCGGUAGGCCUAACACAUGCAAGUCGAACGGCAGCACAGUAAGAGCUUGCUCUUACGGGUGGCGAGUGGCGGACGGGUGAGGAAUACAUCGGAAUCUACUUUUUCGUGGGGGAUAACGUAGGGAAACUUACGCUAAUACCGCAUACGACCUACGGGUGAAAGCAGGGGAUCUUCGGACCUUGCGCGAUUGAAUGAGCCGAUGUCGGAUUAGCUAGUUGGCGGGGUAAAGGCCCACCAAGGCGACGAUCCGUAGCUGGUCUGAGAGGAUGAUCGGCCACACUGGAACUGAGACACGGUCCAGAGUCCUGCGGGAGGCAGCAGUGUGGAAUAUUGGACAAUGGGCGGAAGCAUGAUCCAGCCAUACCGCGUGGGUGAAGAAGGCCUUCGGGUUGUAAAGCCCUUUUGUUGGGAAAGAAAAGCAGCAGGUUGAUACCCCGCUGUUCUGACGGUACCCAAAGAAUAAGCACCGGCUAACUUCGUG
Molecule: ribosomal RNA, 492 nt
Filed under: uncultured bacterium
Lineage: Bacteria
Description: partial 16S ribosomal RNA
Rfam family: Bacterial small subunit ribosomal RNA
Source: RNAcentral